GAUGAACGCUGGCGGCGUGCCUAAUACAUGCAAGUCGAGCGAACAGACGAGGAGCUUGCUCCUCUGACGUUAGCGGCGGACGGGUGAGUAACACGUGGAUAACCUACCUAUAAGACUGGGAUAACUUCGGGAAACCGGAGCUAAUACCGGAUAACAUGUUGAACCGCAUGGUUCAACAGUGAAAGACGGUCUUGCUGUCACUUAUAGAUGGAUCCGCGCCGCAUUAGCUAGUUGGUAAGGUAACGGCUUACCAAGGCAACGAUGCGUAGCCGACCUGAGAGGGUGAUCGGCCACACUGGAACUGAGACAUGGUCCAGACUCCUACGGGAGGCAGCAGUAGGGAAUCUUCCGCAAUGGGCGAAAGCCUGACGGAGCAACGCCGCGUGAGUGAAGAAGGUCUUCGGAUCGUAAAACUCUGUUAUUAGGGAAGAACAAAUGUGUAAGUAACUAUGCACGUCUUGACGGUACCUAAUCAGAAAGCCACGGCUAACUACGUG
RNAcentral lists this ribosomal RNA (497 nucleotides) under uncultured bacterium. RNAcentral describes it as "partial 16S ribosomal RNA". It matches the Rfam family "Bacterial small subunit ribosomal RNA", at positions 28 to 507 of the family's 1533-position model. The record is from RNAcentral.